This is a ribozyme of Mesocricetus auratus (golden hamster), 297 nucleotides long. It matches the Rfam family "Nuclear RNase P". Rfam says of the family: Ribonuclease P (RNase P) is a ubiquitous endoribonuclease, found in archaea, bacteria and eukarya as well as chloroplasts and mitochondria. Lineage: Eukaryota; Metazoa; Chordata; Mammalia; Rodentia; Cricetidae. The record is from Ensembl.
ACAGAUAGAAGCUUGUCAACUGAAUGUGUCAUGCCACUCUCCCCUGACCCCCAUCCCUUGUGAAGGUUUGAGACUAGGGCCAAAGGCAGCCCUAACCAGGUCUUCUCAGAGCUGAGAGGCAAGUUCUCAACGAAUGGUGCUUUAUGCUAGGGAAGAUGGGUGGAGGUGCAGUAAGAGGAUGCCUUCCUCCCCAUAGCUUGGAGCAGAACAGACUUCAUUGCCAUAGGGAAAUGGCCUUUGUGGUGGUUAGGGUAUUGCCUCAGCUCUGUUAACCUAACAUAGAAACUCUCUCACAGA